This is a long non-coding RNA of Pongo pygmaeus (Bornean orangutan), 381 nucleotides long. RefSeq lists it as uncharacterized. NCBI's taxonomy places the organism in Eukaryota, Metazoa, Chordata, Mammalia, Primates, Hominidae. The transcript is spliced from 3 exons. The record is from RefSeq and is a predicted model, not a curated record.
AGGCAACAAGCAUGCUGGGACCAUUCUGUCUGCUGUUUGGGUCUCACUUGUCCUGACAACUAAAAAUCAUCAGUGGAAAGAAGCUGGAGUCAUCCUAACAAGAGUGAUAGUCUUUCCCCAAGUGAGACCAGGCUGUGCUAUCUGGGGAAAAGCAUCACUGGCCUUGCCGAGAUGCACCGACGACUCAGUUCAGCUAAGGACUUAACCAGUACAGGACUUGCUGCAGUGGAGCCUGAGCUGGAUAUGGAAAGCAAAAGAAGUUGUGUCUGGCUACUCCCUUGCACCAGCAGAGACAGAUGGUCUUAACAUCAGCAGAGACAGAGACAGCAGGACAACAUGGCCUUAACAUGGAGCAUAGGAUUGUAAAUCAAUAAACUAACA